Long non-coding RNA from Lycium barbarum (goji berry), 1368 nucleotides. RefSeq lists it as uncharacterized. The transcript is spliced from 2 exons. NCBI's taxonomy places the organism in Eukaryota, Viridiplantae, Streptophyta, Magnoliopsida, Solanales, Solanaceae. The record is from RefSeq and is a predicted model, not a curated record.
UAUGGUUGAAAAUUAUGAAAUAAAGUAUGGUGAAGUUGAGGCCAUAUGUAUGAGGGUUGGGCGUGUGAUGGGUGUGUGUGUUGUGUGAUAUUGAAACUAUGAAUUAAUGCCUAAUUAGUAUAUUAUGACCAUUGUAAGGUGAAGAACUUUUGAGAAUCAUCCAUGUGGGUAUGUUAGUGUGCUAGCCGAAAAUGGGUCACCUUAUGUGCCAAGAACUGAAUUAUUAUCGCUUAUUGUUUAGCCGUCGUCGCCAUGAAUUCUAUGUUGGAAAUGAAAGUUUAUUGACUCAAAUUGAUGUUGUAAAUAUUGCGAACUGAUUUGGAGGUUGUUGUACAUUUAAUGUAAAUUAUGUAUUGAUGAAAAUAGCGUUGUUAGAAUGUAAAAAUUGUAGACACAAACCAUGAUUUGGAAAUGAAGAAAAGUUAGAGGGGCUGUCUCGGUUAGGGGCUGUUUCGGGUAGCUUGGGAAAAUUUAUGGAUUGUUGGAAAAGUUGUAUAAACUGCUUAGAAUGUCUUGAAAUGUUUUUGGUAUGGGUUCGGGUUAGUAGGUGAGCAUAUAAGCGUCGAUUUUGGGCUUGAAGGUAAGUCGUCGAAUUGAAUUUAUGAAAGUUGAUAAAUGAUGGCAAGAGAGCUAUUAUUGUUGAAUUACCUUUCGGAUUAAUUAUUAAUGUUGUUAGGUUGGUUGUUGUGGUUGUUGUUGAUUGAUAUGGCCGAGUUAAAUUCUCGGGAUGGCCUAAUUACAGGGGAAGUGCUGCCGAAUUUUUCUGUAGAAUUUAAUGAUUAGCUGGAAUGAAUGGCUAAAUGCCCUUAUCUAAUGUUUGGUGUUCGUUGGCGUAUUGUAGACCUUGGGGAGCCCGAGGCGUAGAUUGGAUAUUUACUUAAGAUUGGCUAUCUUGAGUGCGUUCGAGGUACAGACGCACAGUUCGGUGAUCCCUCAGUGUAGGAUACCCCUUUUGUUGUUGGAGUGCUCCCUUCCCUUCAGAGCACAUCUUUUGGUAUACACUUUUGUUUGUUAUGUUGCAUAUAUUCGUUCAUGGGUACGGCGGGGCCCUGUUCCGCCAUAUGAUUCGUUUGGUCUGCUUAGAGGUCUGUAGACUUAUUUGUGGGUGUGUGUGCCUACUUCUGUACAGUUGUGUCCAUAUGAUCUCCUUCGUUAUGGCAGCCUUGUCGGCAUGCAUUUUGUAUAUGUUUAUGGCAGCCUUGUCGGCUCGCACAUGUAUAUGUUGUUCUGUUGGCCCUGUGUGGCCUUUGUGGUAUUUGCUGUGUACAGGGUUAUUUUGGAUAGUCCGAAAAACAAAGGAAACUCUGCCGAAAUUUUUCUGGAAAUUGUCUAAAUUUGAAAUAUAGCCUUGAUGGCUUCUGUUAUAUA